GGGAACAGGUGCGCGUCGAUCCCAAAACGAGGCGGCGUUGGCGUGCUAGGUCUGGGGUACGGGAUGUGGAGGGCCGCCGCCGCCGCCGCCGCCGCCGCUCGUCGUUCGUCAGUCGCCGUUCUACUCCAGACAAGACUACUUCCCCGUGCUCGCGGGCGAGUGCAAGGAGUUCAUGUUGGCCCUGCCGCUGGACGAGAAGAGGACGCGGUUUCCGGUGUGGGGGUGGCACACCAUGCGGAGGUUGCCGCUGGCGGAGCCGUGAUGGCGCCGGUGUUGCCGCGGCACACCAGGACGCUGCAGAGGGCGGUGAGGUGCGCGGAGUAGUGGCCCUCGCGGCUGGUCUGGCGGUUCGAGACCCUGCAGGUCUGCCCCUCCCUCGAGAAGUGGAAGUCCAAGCUGCGGAGGCGCGCGAGGCAGCUGAAGCGGUAGCCGCUGGUGGACCGCCAGUAGUGGUGGCUGUCGAAGUACCCCUUCUGCGGGUGGCGCGUCCAGUUCGCGUAGCGGCUCCUGGACGUUCUGGUGGCCUUUCGACGACUUCUCAGUCUGUUCCUCCGACCUGUAGUCUUCCGUUAAUCGAGUGAGAGUUUUAGGAAUCUAACCAGAGUAAAGGAGUGUCCAAGGAACCUAUUUAGACGAUUCGAUACCCUACGUUCUUGUGACUGGGACUAUUUCUGUAUACAGUGUCUCGCUGGUCAAUUACGACAACUGUACAGAGGAUGAGAACUAUUACACCAAUAACCUCCACCAGUUCUACGUUACUUGCAAUGAUACUGUCUAGCGGCACGGCCAUUUAAGCUCCGGUUUAAAAAGGUGUUCUAAAAUGUUCUUCUCUAACCACCACAAUUUCCUGUAAAACCUGGUUAGUUACGUAACCGUAAAUUAGGACUACCCUUCGCCAAUAAAGUAUAAUGUAACAUAAAACUAAAGAAUAUAAGCAUAAGACGGAGACGUGAACCCAAACACAAUACGGAGACAAAGUGUGAACAAAAUUGCUGGACACAAAAGGGUACAUUACAGGUAUCGAAAAGCUCACCACCCCUCCUACCUAUACACUCCGAUGUGGUAAAACUAGGACUCAUAAAGUUGUAGUUCUACAUU
This 1098-nucleotide ribosomal RNA is filed under the name Triticum aestivum (bread wheat). RNAcentral describes it as "partial small subunit ribosomal RNA". The record is from RNAcentral. Lineage: Eukaryota; Viridiplantae; Streptophyta; Magnoliopsida; Poales; Poaceae.